UACGUAGGGGGCGAGCGUUGUCCGGAGUUACUGGGCGUAAAGGGCAUGCAGGCGGUCGGACGCGUUUCGGGUGACAGCGGGUGGCUUAACUACCCGAGUGGUCGAAAGACGGUUUGACUUGAGGACGCGAGAGGGACACGGAAUUCCGGGUGGAGUGGUGAAAUGCGUAGAGAUCCGGAGGAACACCGAAGGCGAAGGCAGUGUCCUGGCGCGUAACUGACGCUGAGGUGCGAAAGCGUGGGGAGCGAACCGG
RNAcentral lists this ribosomal RNA (253 nucleotides) under uncultured bacterium. Its description in RNAcentral is "partial 16S ribosomal RNA". It matches the Rfam family "Bacterial small subunit ribosomal RNA", at positions 524 to 776 of the family's 1533-position model. The record is from RNAcentral.